UAGGGGUAUCGCCUAGAGGCCGAAGGCAUCAGUCUUUGACACUGACAUCGCUGGUUCGAAUCCAGCUACCCCCGCCAU
This 78-nucleotide transfer RNA is filed under the name Pseudomonas phage Astolliot. RNAcentral describes it as "tRNA-Gln". It matches the Rfam family "tRNA". Rfam says of the family: Transfer RNA (tRNA) molecules are approximately 80 nucleotides in length. Their secondary structure includes four short double-helical elements and three loops (D, anti-codon, and T loops). Lineage: Duplodnaviria; Heunggongvirae; Uroviricota; Caudoviricetes; Vandenendeviridae. The record is from RNAcentral.